UACGGAGGGUGCGAGCGUUAUUCGGAAUAACUGGGCGUAAAGGGCACGCAGGCGGGCUUUUAAGUGAGAUGUGAAAUCCCCGGGCUUAACCUGGGAAUAGCAUUUCAGACUGGGAGUCUAGAGUACUUUAGGGAGGAGUAGAAUUCCACGUGUAGCGGUGAAAUGCGUAGAGAUGUGGAGGAAUACCGAAGGCGAAGGCGGCUCCUUAGGAAUGUACUGACGCUGAUGUGCGAAAGCGUGGGGAGCAAACAGG
Molecule: ribosomal RNA, 253 nt
Filed under: uncultured bacterium
Lineage: Bacteria
Description: partial 16S ribosomal RNA
Rfam family: Bacterial small subunit ribosomal RNA
Source: RNAcentral